CCCUUAGAUGUUCUGGGCCGCACGCGCGCUACACUGACUGGUGCAACAAGUGUCGCUCCUUGGCCGAUAGGCCUGGGCAAUCUUUGAACGCCAGUCGUGAUGGGGAUAGAUUCUACAAUUUUUGAUCUUCAACGAGGAAUUCCUAGUAAACGCGAGUCAUCAACUCGCAUUGAUUACGUCCCUGCCCUUUGUACACACCGCCCGUCGCACCUACCGAUUGAAUGGUCCGGUGAACCCUCCGGAUCGGCUCGCGCCUCCGUUGCUGUUCGGGAAGACUCCCAAACUUGAGCGUUUAGAGGAAGUAAAANUCGUANCA
Molecule: ribosomal RNA, 316 nt
Filed under: uncultured eukaryote
Lineage: Eukaryota
Description: partial 18S ribosomal RNA
Rfam family: Eukaryotic small subunit ribosomal RNA
Source: RNAcentral